CGAAAUGGUAAUUGAUACAAUUUAGAAUUUAGAAUGACAUAAAAAGGUAAGUAAAAAGUACAAAUAAAAAUGACUAAAUAAAAUGACAAAAUCUAUUAUAAAUUGAUAAAUGAAUAUAAAUAAAAUAAAAGAAUUUAAAAAUGAAAGAAUAAAUGCGUAGAAAAUAAAUGAUUAACAGAAACGGAGCCACCAAAAGUAGGAACAGGAGUAAAUCUAGACCAAACAAACAGCAAUGAGCGGCAGCAACGGGGUCCUGGUACAGCAGUUGCUAAGUAAAG
This 278-nucleotide long non-coding RNA is filed under the name Mytilus galloprovincialis (Mediterranean mussel). Lineage: Eukaryota; Metazoa; Mollusca; Bivalvia; Mytilida; Mytilidae. The record is from RNAcentral.